RNAcentral lists this long non-coding RNA (381 nucleotides) under Carica papaya (papaya). Its description in RNAcentral is "long non-coding RNA (CPAP_LNC005026)". Lineage: Eukaryota; Viridiplantae; Streptophyta; Magnoliopsida; Brassicales; Caricaceae. The record is from RNAcentral.
UCAUAUUGAACCCAUCUGGUCCCGGAGUCUUAUCUCCAUUACACAAACAGAGUGCCUCAUGGAUUUCCUCCAACGUGAACAUUUGCCAACAUACCUGCUGUGUUUCUCAUCCAGAGUUCUGAAUUGAAGGUUAUCCAGCCUUGGUCUCCAUCUUACAUCUUCUUUAUACAGCUGUUCGAAUUGGUCUUUUGCAUGCUCUCUCAUCUCCAAAUUCCCUUUUAUAAUUCUAUCAUUAUACACAAAUUCUUCAAUGCAAUUCCUCUUUCUUCUAUAAUUUGCUAAUCCAUGAAAAUAACUUGUAUUUUGGCCCCCUUCCUUUAACCAUUUUUCUCUAGAAUUUUGGCGGCAUGAAAUUGCCUCCAGAUUCAGUUUGUGAACAAC